Molecule: transfer RNA, 68 nt
Filed under: Marmota monax (woodchuck)
Lineage: Eukaryota; Metazoa; Chordata; Mammalia; Rodentia; Sciuridae
Description: tRNA.Undet
Source: RNAcentral
GGAUUGUGGCUCAGGGGUAGAGCGCUCAACUAGCAUGCAUGAGGUACUGGGUUCGAUUCUCAGCACCA